Molecule: ribosomal RNA, 366 nt
Filed under: uncultured bacterium
Lineage: Bacteria
Description: bacterial SSU rRNA
Rfam family: Bacterial small subunit ribosomal RNA
Source: RNAcentral
AUUGAACGCUGGCGGCAUGCCUUACACAUGCAAGUCGAACGGCAGCGCGGGGCAACCUGGCGGCGAGUGGCGAACGGGUGAGUAAUAUAUCGGAACAUACCCUAGAGUGGGGGAUAACGUAGCGAAAGUUACGCUAAUACCGCAUACGCACUAAGGUGGAAAGUGGGGGGAUCUUCGGACCUCAUGCUCAUGGAGUGGCCGAUAUCUGAUUAGCUAGUUGGUGAGGUAAAGGCUCACCAAGGCAACGAUCAGUAGCUGGUUUGAGAGAACGACCAGCCACACUGGAACUGAGACACGGUCCAGACUCCUACGGAGGCAGCAGUGGGGAAUUUUGGACAAUGGGGGCAACCCUGAUCCAGCAAUGCC